AAAGCUCAAAUUUAAAAUCUGGCAGUCUUUGGCUGUCCGAGUUGUAAUUUAGAGAAGUGUUACCCGCGUCGGACCGUGUAUAAGUCUCCUGGAAUGGAGCGUCAUAGAGGGUGAGAAUCCCGUCUUUGACACGGACUACCAAGGCUUUGUGGUGCGCUCUCAAAGAGUCGUGUUGUUUGGGAAUGCAGCACUAAAUGGGUGGUAAAUUCCAUCUAAAGCUAAAUAUUGGCGAGAGACCGAUAGCGAA
Molecule: ribosomal RNA, 247 nt
Filed under: Marasmiaceae sp. 2 CRJH-2017
Lineage: Eukaryota; Fungi; Basidiomycota; Agaricomycetes; Agaricales; Marasmiaceae
Description: partial 28S ribosomal RNA
Rfam family: Eukaryotic large subunit ribosomal RNA
Source: RNAcentral